UGGGAAUAUUGGACAAUGGGGGAAACCCUGAUCCAGCAAUGCCGCGUGAACGAUGAAGGCCCUCGGGUCGUAAAGUUCUUUCAGCAGGGAAGAAGGGUAACUUGACUGUACCUGCAGAAGAAGCACCGGCUAACUACGUGCCAGCAGCCGCGGUAAUACGUAGGGUGCAAGCGUUGUUCGGAAUUAUUGGGCGUAAAGCGCGUGUAGGCGGUUACUUAAGUCUGAUGUGAAAGCCCGGGGCUUAACCCCGGAAGUGCAUUGGAUACUGGGUAACUAGAGGACGAGAGAGGGAAGCGGAAUUCCAGGUGUAGGGGUGAAAUCCGUAGAUAUCUGGAGGAACGUCGGUGGCGAAGGCGGCUUCCUGGCUCGUAUCUGACGCUGAGACGCGAAAGCGUGGGGAGCAAAC
This 406-nucleotide ribosomal RNA is filed under the name uncultured bacterium. RNAcentral describes it as "bacterial SSU rRNA". It matches the Rfam family "Bacterial small subunit ribosomal RNA", at positions 356 to 773 of the family's 1533-position model. The record is from RNAcentral.